Cyprinus carpio (common carp) is the source of this 643-nucleotide long non-coding RNA. NCBI's taxonomy places the organism in Eukaryota, Metazoa, Chordata, Actinopteri, Cypriniformes, Cyprinidae. The record is from Ensembl.
AGAGGAUUGAGGCUCAUUCUAUCACACUCACUCACAGCAGCGAGAGCGCGGAGGAUGGAGGCGACUGAAGCGGUAGGUGAAACGCGUCUCUUACUUCUCGCUGAAGAGCGGUUAGCUGCUCAGACCUGCCUGUUGGAGGAACAGUGAGCUGUGACGGGUUUCUGUGGUUUUGUCGUGAGUCUUGGAGUUUGUCCAGUGGGGUUUCGUGCGUUGAAGUGUUUGCUGGGUCAAAAGCUCGAGUAUUAGUGUUGGAGGGACUGACGCUGUCCGAGGUGCUGAAAAUGGUUAGAGAAGGGAGGAGAGACCAUGGUACGGGAACAAUAGGUCAUAUCUGAGGUACGACAUAGUGGGAUGGCUCUGAAAAAGCAGGACACUCUUACCUUCAGAAUGAGAGCCAAGCAUUUCCAGUUCAACUACAGCUGAAACAUCACGACACAAGUAAGUCCUUCAGGUUUCUUUCAUCAAGAUUCUAAGUAAAAACUUUUGAAGUACAUGAAAAUAGGAUUUGCUCAACUAUUCAUUUUAACUAGCUUACUAGCAGUCUAAAUAAGCAGCUUUUGUAAAUAGCAUGUAUCAGCGGUCUGACGGCCGGGUGGAGAGCCUUGUGCAGUUGAACAUUUUUAUGGCUUUAAUUUAAAUUUCC